Molecule: ribosomal RNA, 437 nt
Filed under: uncultured bacterium
Lineage: Bacteria
Description: bacterial SSU rRNA
Rfam family: Bacterial small subunit ribosomal RNA
Source: RNAcentral
ACUCCUACGGGAGGCAGCAGUGGGGAAUAUUGCACAAUGGGCGCAAGCCUGAUGCAGCCAUGCCGCGUGUAUGAAGAAGGCCUUCGGGUUGUAAAGUACUUUCAGCAGUGAGGAAGGUGGGUAUGUUAAUAGCAUACUCAUUUGACGUUAGCUGCAGAAGAAGCACCGGCUAACUCCGUGCCAGCAGCCGCGGUAAUACGGAGGGUGCGAGCGUUAAUCGGAAUUACUGGGCGUAAAGCGCAUGCAGGUGGUUUGUUAAGUCAGAUGUGAAAGCCCGGGGCUCAACCUCGGAAUUGCAUUUGAAACUGGCAAACUAGAGUACUGUAGAGGGGGUAGAAUUUCAGGUGUAGCGGUGAAAUGCGUAGAGAUCUGAAGGAUACCGGUGGCGAAGCGGCCCCUGGACAGAUACUGACACUCAGAUGCGAAAGCGUGGGAGC